GAUUUGAGCCACGAACUUAAUUGAAAUCAAGUGAAGAAAAGAGAUCACCUUGAGAUUUUGUUGAUACAUUGGGGAGCACUGGUUGCAAUUGAGGUAUGGGUUUUUCUCUCAAUUCUUCAAUUGACGUUUUCUUUUCUUUUGGUUUUGAACUAUGGUUUCCAAUGGUGUUAAUGGAUAUUGCUAAUGCUAAUGCAUGUUUAGUAUUAUUUCCUUUUGAUAUUUCGCGGUUUUUGGAAACCAAAGAAUGGAUAAUUGCCAUUUCAUCUGUUUUUGGUGUUUGAAUAAAUUUUUGUUGAAUUUCUGCGCCAUUCUGAAAUAACAUGAAAAAUCCCUAAAUUUCUUUUUGUUGGUGUCUUAGUUGCCGGGAGUGAACUUUGAAUUUUUCCUUCCAUCUCUAAAUUAGUUAAUCAUUUUAUGACUUGAUUUGAAAGUCUUAUCAUUUACCGUAUGGGUUGGAUUAGUGAUUGGGUAUUUGGGAUUUUUUCUUAAACUGGAAAUUUAACAAACCUUGUCAACAAACCCCUUUCAAGUUCUCCCUGCUUUGAUGAUUUUUGCAAGGCAAUAUUAGUCGGAAAUCUUUUUUUUAUAUGCUUACUUUAUUGUGGAUAGUUUCAAAUGUCGUAAAUGGUUUUAUAAAGAUUGAAAUGUUAUGCAGCUUCCUACUAUUGAUUUGCAUCACCAAUCAAGUCUUUGGAUGGAUUUUCUUUAAACCCAUCCUAUUAACUGUUUGUGAAAAUUACCUAAUGAAAUUCCUCUUUUUGUUUGAAACUUAUCACCUGAGCUCCAGUAGGAGUUGAUGCUACUUUUCUUAAUAAACCUUGAAUUUGCAUUUUCAGUAUUUGAAACUUCCCUCGUUAAUGAUAUUUAUGACUUCUGACUUGUAUUUAAACGUCCUUCACGUUCACAUUUUCAACUCCACCAGUAGCAAAAAGGUUGAAUUCGUAAAUAACCCUUUGUACUAUGUACCCUUCCAACCUUGCAUUUUAAAUAUUUUAAACUUCAGCUCACGUUUUGUCUUAUGACGUUAUCUUAAGUGUCUUCUUCAAAGCCCUGUUUACACAUCUCAGUUCAAUAAAUGGUAGCUUUUUCGUUCCAUUAUACCUUAUCUUGUGUUAUUUGAAUCAAUUUGGAAAUUUUAUUCGCAUUUUACUUCUCUGAUAACUCUCGGUAUCUAGGACUCUAACUUGCUAUGAUGGAAUUUCCAGUUUUGUGACAAAAUGCGAGAUUUUGCCAUGUUCAAGUCAGACUUGUAUCAAGUAUUUUUCUCUCGUGGAUAUGCGUUUGUCGAUCAUCUUGCUAUUUUGUUGCAGCUAAUAUUUUAAAUUUAUAUUGCCGCAUAUGGACUUGUAUUGUUGAGCUGUUGUUUUUAGAGCUAUCGCUUGAACGUGAUGUGAGGAUAGAAACUCUACUUUAGGAACGUCGGGCCUAAGUGGCACCCCACCACCUCGGUGGCAACCCGGAAGAUCGUUGCGGCAACGAUGGAUGGUAACUAGAACUACCCUGACGGUGGCUUUGGCCAUGAGUAGUAUAGUAAAUUCAUUUAAAGCUCUAAAUCUUGUUUGAAUGGAAUUUGCGUAAGGAUUUCUUUCUCUAAAUUAUCAUUUUUGCUACUCCUUGUUUGCGCAUUUAUAUUUUCAUGUCGAUAUUAUUAUUCUGCUGUUGUACCCUCUACUGGGCAUUCGCUCACCCCGUUUUGUUUUGUUUCCCCCCCACAGAGUACGAAGAGAAGUUGUUGCAGUAAGCCGGGAAGAGCUUACGGCAGGCUUUAGCGUUUGGAAAACGACACUGUGUGCGAAAUCCGUAGCCUCGAGCUUUGUAAGUAAGAAGAACCUGAACGAAAGGACAAAAUACCUCAAGAACAUUUAGAACAACUGGUAGGUUCGAUUUUGUAAUUGUCGUUUACGUUGUUAGAGACUGUGGGAAGUUGAUUACAUCUGAAGACUCGAAGGAUCUUUUUUGAAAGUUAAGGAAAUUGAAUGGAUAUCGGUGAAUCAGGCUGCAUUGUGUUGUGUUGAGAAGAAGGUUUCUUUUGUGAUAGCAUAUGACAACCGUGUAUUCGUUCAAGCAGAGACUUGCAGCCGAACGACGACGUACCUUACGUGGGAAAACCCUUGCGACGAUGAAAGUAGUAUGGCUACAUCACCCUUUUGAAGACGCAACUUGGGAGUUCGAACUUGACGUGCAAGACAACUACCCGAAGCUAUUUCUAGGUAUCCUUCUUAGCUUCUUCGUUUAAUUUUUGAAUUUGGGGGACCAAAUUCUUUUUUUAGUGGUUGAUGGUGUAACGACACCAAAAUCUCAUUUUAGCUUUGGAUCCGAACUCAACCCAUUUGAGUGGGAAGUUGGAACUGGAUAGUGUGCGCGUGCGGUCCUAAUAUAGAAUGUGUAUAGCUGUGGAGAGUGCCCCUAAAUUUUAGAAUGGGUGUUCUUUUUUUUACUAAAUAGAUAACCCCUUAGUAAUUUUGAGGGCAUGGUUAGAAGAAUGUACUUGUGGAAAACUCUAGAAAAUCUUGAGCAUGGAUUACACGUGUUUUAUCAAAAGAAAUUUUUCUUUAAAGACCCAAACUUAACUCUUCUUCUUAUUUUUUUUCUUGUUUUACUGUAUUCACUUCGAUUUGAGCCACGAACUUAAUUGAAAUCAAGUGAAGAAAAGAGUUCACCUUGAGAUUUUGUUGAUACAUUGGGGAGCACUGGUUGCAAUUGAGGUAUGGGUUUUUCUCUCAAUUCUUCAAUUCACGUUCUCUUUUCUUUUGGUUUUGAACUAUGGUUUCCAAUGGUGUUAAUGGAUAUUGCUAAUGCUAAUGCAUGUUUAGUAUUAUUUCCUUUCGAUAUUUCGCGAUUUUUAGAAACCAAAGAAUGGAAAAUUGCCAUUUCAUCUUUUUUGGUGUUUGAAUAAAUUUUUGUUGAAUUUCUGCGCCAUUCUGAAAUAACAUGAAAAAUCCCCUAAAUUUCUUUUGAGGGCAUGGUUAGAAGAAUGUACUUGUGGAAAACUCUAGAAAAUCUUGAGCAUGGAUUACACGUGUUUUAUCAAAAGAAAUUUUUCUUUAAAGACCCAAACUUAACUCUUCUUCUUAUUUUUUUUCUUGUUUUACUGUAUUCACUUCGAUUUGAGCCACGAACUUAAUUGAAAUCAAGUGAAGAAAAGAGUUCACCUUGAGAUUUUGUUGAUACAUUGGGGAGCACUGGUUGCAAUUGAGGUAUGGGUUUUUCUCUCAAUUCUUCAAUUCACGUUCUCUUUUCUUUUGGUUUUGAACUAUGGUUUCCAAUGGUGUUAAUGGAUAUUGCUAAUGCUAAUGCAUGUUUAGUAUUAUUUCCUUUUGAUAUUUCGCGAUUUUUAGAAACCAAAGAAUGGAAAAUUGCCAUUUCAUCUGUUUUUGGUGUUUGAAUAAAUUUUUGUUGAAUUUCUGCGCCAUUCUGAAAUAACAUGAAAAAUCCCCUAAAUUUCUUUUUGUUGGUGUCUUAGUUGCCGGGAGUGAACUUUGAAUUUUUCCUUCCAUCUCUAAAUUAGUUAAUCAUUUUAUAACUUGAUUUGAAAGUCUUAUCAUUUACCGUAUGGGUUGGAUUAGUGAUUGGGUAUUUGGGAUUUUUUCUUAAACUGGAAAUUUAACAAACCUUGUCAACAAACCCCUUUCAAGUUCUCCCUGCUUUGAUGAUUUUUGCAAGGCAAUAUUAGUCGGAAGUCUUUUUUUUUUAUAUGCUUACUUUAUUGUGGAUAGUUUCAAAUGUCGUAAAUGGUUUUAUAAAGAUUGAAAUGUUAUGCAGCUUCCUACUAUUGAUUUGCAUCACCAAUCAAGUCUUUGGAUGGAUUUUCUUUAAACCCAGCCUAUUAACUGUUUGUGAAAAUUACCUAAUGAAAUUCCUCUUUUUGUUUGAAACUUAUCACCUGAGCUCCAGUAGGAGUUGAUGCUACUUUUCUUAAUAAACCUUGAAUUUGCAUUUUCAGUAUUUGAAACUUCCCUCAUUAAUGAUAUUUAUGACUUAUGACUUGUAUUUAAACAUGUCCUUCAUGUUCACAUUUUCAACUCCACCAGUAGCAAAAAGGUUGAAUUCGUAAAUAACCCUUUGUACUAUGUACCCUUCCAACCUUGCAUUUUAAAUAUUUUAAACUUCAGCUCACGUUUUGUCUUAUGACGUUAUCUUAAGUGUCUUCUUCAAAGCCCUGUUUACACAUCUCAGUUCAAUAAAUGGUAGCUUUUUCGUUCCAUUAUACCUUAUCUUGUGUUAUUUGAACCAAUUUGGAAAUUUUAUUCGCAUUUUACUUCUCUGAUAACUCUCGGUAUCUAGGACUCUAACUUGCUAUGAUGGAAUUUUUCCAGUUUUUUGACAAAAUGCGAGAUUUUGCCAUGUUCAAGUCAGACUUGUAUCAAGUAUUUUUCUCUCGUGGAUAUGCGUUUGUCGAUCAUCUUACUAUUUUGUUGCAGCUAAUAUUUUAAAUUUAUAUUGCCGCAUAUGGACUUGUAUUGUUGAGCUGUUGUUUUUAGAGCUAUCGCUUGAACGUGAUGUGAGGAUAGAAACUCUACUUUAGGAACGUCGGGCCUAAGUGGCACCCCACCACCUCGGUGGCAACCCGGAAGAUCGUUGCGGCAACGAUGGCUGGUAACUAGAACUACCCUGACGGUGGCUUUGGCCAUGAGUAGUAGAGUAAAUUUAUUUAAAGAUCUAAAUCUUGUUUGAAUGGAAUUUGCGUAAGGAUUUCUUUCUCUAAAUUAUCAUUUUUGCUGCUCCUUGUUUGCGCAUUUAUAUUUUCAUGUCGAUAUUAUUAUUCUGCUGCUGUACCCUCUACUGGGCAUUCGCUCACCCCGUUUUGUUUUGUUUUCCCCCCACGAAGUACGAAGAGAAGUUGUUGCAGUAAGCCGGGAAGAGCUUAUGGCAGGCUUUAGCGUUUGGAAAGUUAGUAUAUUUUUAGCUUAUGAUAUUGUAUAUCACAGGGGUAUCUGGAUAGUUAGUUUGUGUUUUAGUUCCAUGUUUUUUUUUACUUUAUUUUGCUGUUGGGAUCUCUUACAGACUCAAUGUGUUUUGUGAAUGAAACCUGGUGAUGAAAUUAAAGGAAGGUCUGACCUUUAGGUGUCUAAAGUACCGAAUACAUGGCUCAUAUCUUGCUGGAAAAUCUAAAAAUUGCACAUGUUUUGUUUAUACA
Long non-coding RNA from Papaver somniferum (opium poppy), 5137 nucleotides. RefSeq lists it as uncharacterized. The transcript is spliced from 2 exons. The record is from RefSeq and is a predicted model, not a curated record. Lineage: Eukaryota; Viridiplantae; Streptophyta; Magnoliopsida; Ranunculales; Papaveraceae.